RNAcentral lists this ribosomal RNA (447 nucleotides) under uncultured bacterium. RNAcentral's name for it is "bacterial SSU rRNA". It matches the Rfam family "Bacterial small subunit ribosomal RNA", at positions 330 to 794 of the family's 1533-position model. The record is from RNAcentral.
CCCAGACUCCUACGGGAGGCAGCAGUGGGGGAUAUUGCACAAUGGGGGAAACCCUGAUGCAGCGACGCCGCGUGGGUGAAGAAGCGCCUCGGCGCGUAAAGCCCUUUCAGCAGGGAAGAAAAUGACGGUACCUGAAGAAGAAGCCCCGGCUAACUACGUGCCAGCAGCCGCGGUAAUACGUAUGGUGCAAGCGUUAUCCGGAUUUACUGGGUGUAAAGGGAGCGCAGGCGGCACGGCAAGCCUGAUGUGAAAGCCCGCGGCCCAACCGCGGGACUGCAUUGGGAACUACCGGGCUGGAGUGCCGGAGAGGUAGGCGGAAUUCCUAGUGUAGCGGUGAAAUGCGUAGAUAUUAGGAGGAACACCAGUGGCGAAGGCGGCUUACUGGACUGUAACUGACGUUGAGGCUCGAAAGCGUGGGGAGCAAACAGGAUUAGAUACCCGCGUAGG